GCCGCCGAAAAAAAAUGCAGUCGAGCGGAUGAAGGGAGCUUGCUCCUGGAUAUCAGCGGCGGACGGGUGAGUAAUGCCUAGGAAUCUGCCUGGUAGUGGGGGACAACGUUUCGAAAGGAACGCUAAUACCGCACACGUCCUACGGGAGAAAGCAGGGGACCUUCGGGCCUUGCGCUAUCAGAUGAGCCUAGGUCGGAUUAGCUAGUUGGUGAGGUAAUGGCUCACCAAGGCGACCAUCCGUAACUGGUCUGAGAGGAUGAUCAGUCACACUGGAACUGAGACACGGUCCAGACUCCUACGGGAGGCAGCAGUGGGGAAUAUUGGACAAUGGGCGAAAGCCUGAUCCAGCCAUGCCGCGUGUGUGAAGAAGGUCUUCGGAUUGUAAAGCACUUUAAGUUGGGAGGAAGGGUUGUAGAUUAAUACUCUGCAAUUUUGACGUUACCGACRGAAUAAGCACCGGCUAACUCUGUGCCAGCAGCCGCGGUAAUACAGAGGGUGCAAGCGUUAAUCGGAAUUACUGGGCGUAAAGCGCGCGUAGGUGGUUCGUUAAGUUGGAUGUGAAAUCCCCGGGCUCAACCUGGGAACUGCAUCCAAAACUGGCGAGCUAGAGUAUGGUAGAGGGUGGUGGAAUUUCCUGUGUAGCGGUGAAAUGCGUAGAUAUAGGAAGGAACACCAGUGGCGAAGGCGACCACCUGGACUGAUACUGACACUGAGGUGCGAAAGCGUGGGGGAGCAAACAGGAUUAGAUACCCUGGUAGUCCACGCCGUAAACGAUGUCAACUAGCCGUUGGGAGCCUUGAGCUCUAAGUGGCGCAGCUAACG
RNAcentral lists this ribosomal RNA (822 nucleotides) under Pseudomonas sp. B52. Its description in RNAcentral is "bacterial SSU rRNA". It matches the Rfam family "Bacterial small subunit ribosomal RNA", at positions 42 to 857 of the family's 1533-position model. The record is from RNAcentral. Lineage: Bacteria; Pseudomonadati; Pseudomonadota; Gammaproteobacteria; Pseudomonadales; Pseudomonadaceae.